AGAGUUUGAUCAUGGCUCGACGGACGAACGCUGGGCGGUGUGCUUCACACAUGCAAGUCGAACGAGGUAGCAAUACCUAGUGGCGGACGGGUGAGUAACGCGUGGGAAUCUGCCUUUAGAUGGGGGAUAACGGGUCGAAAGACUCGCUAAUACCGCAUAUGACGAAAGUUGAAAAGGAGUAAAUCCGUCGUAAAGAUGAGCCCGCGUCCGAUUAGCUAGUUGGUAGAGUAAAAAGCCUACCAAGGCGACGAUCGGUAGCUGGUCUGAGAGGAUGAUCAGCCACAAUGGGACUGAGACACGGCCCAUACUCCUACGGGAGGCAGCAGUGGGGAAUUUUACGCAAUGGGCCGAAAGCCUGACGUAGCGACACCGCGUGAGCGAAGAAGCCCCUUGGGGUGUAAAAGCUCUGUCAGCUGGAACGAAAAAAAUGACGGUACCAGCAGAGGAAGCAUCGGCUAACUACGUG
RNAcentral lists this ribosomal RNA (466 nucleotides) under uncultured bacterium. RNAcentral's name for it is "bacterial SSU rRNA". It matches the Rfam family "Bacterial small subunit ribosomal RNA", at positions 8 to 507 of the family's 1533-position model. The record is from RNAcentral.